Molecule: ribosomal RNA, 253 nt
Filed under: uncultured bacterium
Lineage: Bacteria
Description: partial 16S ribosomal RNA
Rfam family: Bacterial small subunit ribosomal RNA
Source: RNAcentral
UACGGAGGGGGCUAGCGUUGUUCGGAAUUACUGGGCGUAAAGCGCGCGUAGGCGGACCUGCAAGUCGGGGGUGAAAGCCCGAGGCUCAACCUCGGAACUGCCUUCGAUACUGCGGGUCUCGAGUCCGGGAGAGGUGAGUGGAAUUCCUAGUGUAGAGGUGAAAUUCGUAGAUAUUAGGAAGAACACCAGUGGCGAAGGCGACUCUUUGGCCUGUAACUGACGCUGAGGCGCGAAAGCGUGGGGAGCAAACAGG